UGUAAUGAAAAUUGAUAGGGUAUGUAAACUUGGUGUUUUAGGACCCUCAUAUUCAGGGCCGACCAUCUAUGACUUAGUAUUACAUGGUGCUUUAUGGUCCUAAAUUAUGGAGCCUGUAAGCCCUAAUUAUACACGGUACACGGUAGCCCUAAUAUGUAUGGAGUCCAUAAGCCCUGGUGCCCAUAAGCCCGGUUGCCCAUAAGCCCAGAAACUCUGGUGCCCAUAAGCCCGGUUGCCCAGUUGCCCAUAAACCCUGUAUCCAUAAGCCCAGAAACUCUGGUGCCCAUAAACCCACAAGCCCAUAUUGCAAGAGAAGGUAUAUAAGGGAGUGAUAAUUGUGAAACAGCAGAGCUGACGAGAGAACGAGAUUAGAGGAUUGUUAAUAUUACUUAGUGUGCUAUAUCUGUAUAUACUGUAUAUUCUGUUAUUACGUUAUUACUGUGUAUUGUGUUUUUACGAUACUUGAAUACACUGUUGAACUUUACACAACGACUUCGUGUUUAUUUUAGUCAGUCAGAGAAAAGGUCCAAGCAACACAAGAAUCCCUCAUUUUAUAUACGCA
This 562-nucleotide long non-coding RNA is filed under the name Mytilus galloprovincialis (Mediterranean mussel). The record is from RNAcentral. Lineage: Eukaryota; Metazoa; Mollusca; Bivalvia; Mytilida; Mytilidae.